GGGUCAGUAGGUUGGUCGUGCCACCGGUACGUACUGGUCUCACUGAUUCCUCCUUCCUGAAGAACCGUAAUGCCAUUAAUUUGGUGUUGCGGGGAAACAGGACUGUUACUUCGAAAAAAUUAGAGUGUUUAAAGCAAGCUAACGCUUGAAUACAUUAGCAUAGAAUAAUGAAAUAGGACGAUCGAUCCUAUUUUGUUGGUUUCUAGGAUUGACGUA
RNAcentral lists this ribosomal RNA (216 nucleotides) under Glomeromycotina sp. RNAcentral's name for it is "partial small subunit ribosomal RNA". The stretch from base 40 to 216 matches the Rfam family "Eukaryotic small subunit ribosomal RNA", at positions 686 to 864 of the family's 1831-position model. The record is from RNAcentral. Lineage: Eukaryota; Fungi; Glomeromycota.